UGGAGAGGUGGCAGAGCGGUUGAAUGCGGUAGUCUCGAAAACUAUUUUAGGGUAAAACCUAACGUGGGUUCAAAUCCCACCCUCUCCGU
RNAcentral lists this transfer RNA (89 nucleotides) under Chondrocystis sp. NIES-4102. RNAcentral's name for it is "tRNA-Ser". It matches the Rfam family "tRNA". From Rfam's summary of the family: Transfer RNA (tRNA) molecules are approximately 80 nucleotides in length. Their secondary structure includes four short double-helical elements and three loops (D, anti-codon, and T loops). The record is from RNAcentral. Lineage: Bacteria; Bacillati; Cyanobacteriota; Cyanophyceae; Chroococcales; Chroococcaceae.